AUGUUCUAUUAUGCUUUCCUUCUGUGAUUAGAUGCAUUUAUUUUGUUAACAAGGUUGGAUGGGGAAAUCUCGAAGUGGUUCGUCCUAGAUCUCUCCAAGCACAUGUGGGUGUUCAUAGAUUGCUAGUACAAGCUUACAACACUGAGAAGUUAUGGGGUUUAAUUUCCCUCACAUUUGUGCUAUUUGGUCUUUGUAUUGCCCAAUUGGUGGUGUUGGCAUGUACACAGGAUAUUCUGAUUGUCUCUGUUUCUGUACUGCAGGCUGUAUGAAACAGGAUUCAGAGUUUCUCCUUGUAAACGCCCUAGCACCUGGACGCAACAGCAUUGGGCAUGUUUGCAGCAGCAGCCACUACUGCACAGUUUGAUUCAACAGCAACAAGCUUCAGGUUGUAUUCAGAACCAAAUUCUAUUGCAUCUCUGAUUGCGCACGCUUCUGCAUCAGUGCACUUGUCAAUGACGAUGCUUAGCUGAAUCUUACUACAUAGGCUGGGGUCUGAUAUGCCCAAUUCUAGAUAUCUAAAUUUCGUGAUCAUGUUGCAUAGCUAGAUACUUUAUGUAUGUUUUUCACACAUGCUUAAACAUUUGUUUCACUUCUGGUUGUAUUUGACUAAACAUCUUGUAUCUCAUGAUAAGCUAAUGGAUGGUUAUCUGGUAUGUAGUCCCUAUUACCUCUGAUUCACACAUGCUUAAACAUUUGUUUCACUUUAGGUUGUAUUUGACUAAACAUCUUCUGACAGAUGGUUGUUUCUGAGCAUAAAUAAACUGCAACAUGGCCUUCUUCUUGGUUUCUUGAGAGUAAUAAGUGCCAUUAUGUCAUCAAACAAGGCAUCCAUCUGUCAUGUCUAAUCAGAUAAGGAUUUGUGUAAAAUAUGUCUGGUUUAGAACCGUUAAUCAUGGCAAGUACUUCUUAUACACAGACUUGAGAUAUGCAUUUAAUCAUGCCUUUUAUCCUUGUUGGUUCAAGCCUGCUGCAACUGUGCAAGUACUUCAUAUGCACAUACGUUUUGUUCUUGUAGGUAAAUGGAUCGUCCCAAGCUGAAGAGCAGGCUGGUAGUACUCGGCUGACAACCUCUGCACUUGCUGAAGACCAUGCUCAGAUUUCCCAUUGCUGAGCCCAGUGCAUUUUAGUGUAGCGUCUUGGAUCAAAUCCAACACAGUAGAGUUAUUUAGUGUAGUGUCUUGGAUCAAAUCUGUUGCUUCAACAAUAUAGCUAGCCAUUUUUUAAUGGCUACUAUUCAGGUACAUGUAGUGUACUAGUGUAUACUGUGCAGCUAUAUGUGUGGUCCAAAUGGAGUGUAAUGUACAUUUGCAGAUAUGGCAAUGGAUUGUGAUUUUGUGAACCUCGGUUGUAAUGCAUGCGAUAUAUAUUUUGUGCCUGAAUAUGAUUGUUGAGUCUGCCUUUUGUA
Lolium rigidum is the source of this 1405-nucleotide long non-coding RNA. RefSeq lists it as uncharacterized. The transcript has 2 exons. Lineage: Eukaryota; Viridiplantae; Streptophyta; Magnoliopsida; Poales; Poaceae. The record is from RefSeq and is a predicted model, not a curated record.